AUGGCUGUCGUCAGCUCGUGUCGUGAGAUGUUGGGUUAAGUCCCGCAACGAGCGCAACCCCCGUCGCAUGUUGCCAGCAUUUAGUUGGGGACUCAUGCGAGACUGCCGGUGACAAACCGGAGGAAGGUGGGGAUGACGUCAAGUCAUCAUGCCCCUUAUGUCCAGGGCUACACACGUGCUACAUUGGCGCGUACAGAGGGUUGCGAUACCGCGAGGUGGAGCGAAUCCCUUAAAGCGUGUCUCGGUUCGGAUUGCAGGCUGAAACUCGCCUGCAUGAAGGCGGAGUUGCUAGUAAUCGCGGAUCAGCACUGCCGCGGUGAAUACGUUCCCGGGCCUUGUACACACCGCCCGUCACACCAUGGGAGUGAGCAACACCCGAAGCCGGUGGCCUAACCCGCAAGGGAGGGAGCCGUCGAAGGUGGGGCUCGUGACUGGGGUGAAGUCGUAACAAGGUAGCCGUAGCGGAAGCUGCGGCUGGAUCACCUCCUUUCUAGGGAGCCCUCCGUUAGGGAGGGCGCCGAUCGCCGGUACGGCUGUCGUUUUCAACGCUUCGAAAUACGGAGCUCGCGAUAGCCGGCCGAUUGAUCGGUCACUUAGAACGUCGACCGGACCUGGCGGGGCGCAGAUCAAUGCCGGUGCUCUUCGAGCGCCGGCGGGUCAGGCGCCCGCAUGCUGUUGAGUUUUGAGAGACCAGCCCGGCAACCCGCUGGGCCGCGCCUCUUCGCGGACCUUGAAAACUGCACAGUAGCCAAUGAAACGGGUAUCACCGGGUGAGAGCUUCGUGCUCUCUCCCAAGAUCACCGUCAAGAUAGUAAGGGCACAUGGUGGAUGCCUUGGCACCAAGAGUCGAUGAAGGGCGUGAACGGCUGCGAUAAGCCGCGGUGAGGCGCUGAAUGGCCAGUGACCCGCGGAUGCCCGAAUGGGGAAACCCGG
Molecule: small RNA, 933 nt
Filed under: uncultured Solirubrobacterales bacterium
Lineage: Bacteria; Bacillati; Actinomycetota; Thermoleophilia; Solirubrobacterales
Description: bacterial SSU rRNA
Rfam family: Bacterial small subunit ribosomal RNA (bases 1-490)
Source: RNAcentral